AUCGAAGCCUUUGGAUCUCACCGGGGUGCUAGCUCCCUUGCAGAGAUGGCUAUGGAUGGCUGAAGUCCUCUCCUUUGAAUCAACCUUUGAUUGGCUUGAGAGGAAGAAGAAGAAGGAUGGAUUUAGGAAGAAGAAAACAAGACCCGCAGCCUUUCUCUUUUUCUUCCUUUUUGGAACCAAGAUGAAGAAGGAAGAGGGCGUCCCAAGCUUUUCUUUUUCUUC
Molecule: long non-coding RNA, 222 nt
Filed under: Phoenix dactylifera (date palm)
Lineage: Eukaryota; Viridiplantae; Streptophyta; Magnoliopsida; Arecales; Arecaceae
Description: long non-coding RNA (PDAC_LNC010061)
Source: RNAcentral